Molecule: long non-coding RNA, 1078 nt
Organism: Ictalurus punctatus (channel catfish)
Lineage: Eukaryota; Metazoa; Chordata; Actinopteri; Siluriformes; Ictaluridae
Source: Ensembl
GUCUCUUUCAGCAGGAUAAGGCUCCCUGACACACUGCAGAAACUGUUCAGGAACGGUUUGAGGAACAUGAUAAAGAGUCGGCCUCCGAAUUCCCCAAUUUAAUCCGAUCUAGCGUCUGUGAGACGUUCUGGACAAACAAGUCUGAUCCACAGAGGCCCCACCUCACAACUUACAGGACUUAAAGGAUCAGCUGUAACGUGUUGGUGUCAGAUCUCACGGCGCACCUUCAGAGCUCUCGUGGAGUCCACGCCUCCACGGGUCCGAGCUGAUCUAAUGAGGACCUGCAGUAUUCGGCGGGUGGUUUUAAUGUUAUGGCUGAUACGUGUGUAUGAAGUAACGUUAUAAUAAUUAAACAUCACGCAGCUCAGUACAUUACAGAGAUAUAACCUCACAGUUUAACACGAUAAUGAAGGGGAAAAGCUGCGCACGCUCACACGUCCAAAUUAUUAGGAACAAGCUCACCUUUUACAUUUCCUACAGUUCCAACCUGCGCCUGUGUUUUCAGCAGAACUGAGCGGGUUCUCCAGGGAACCCGGUGCUAAAGGAUGUAGAGCCAUGUUCCAUACAAACCCGCACACAGACACAAACCUGACUCUCAGCUCACUGCGUACCGGGAACCGUCUCACUGCUGCACACAGUGUCCAGCAAAACUCUGUGUGUGUGUGUGUGUGUGAGAGAGUGUUUCUGUAGGUGUGUGUGUGCGCGUGUGUGUGUUUCUGUAGGUGUGUGUGUGCGCGUGUGUGUAUUUCUGUAGGUGCGUGUGUGUGUGUAUGCGCGUGUGUGUGUGUUUCUGUGUGUGUGUUUCUGUAGGUGUGUGCGUGUGUGUGUGUGUAUGCGCAUGUGUGUGUGUUUCUGUAGGUGUAGGUGUGUGUGUGUGUGUGUGUGUGUGUGUGUAUGUGUGUGUGUGUGUUUCUGUAGGUGUGUGUGUGUGUUUCUGUAGGUGUGUGUGUGCGUGCGCGUGAGUGUGUGUGCGCGCGCGUGUGUGUUUCUGUAGGUGUGUGUGUGUGUGUGUGUGUUUCUGUAGGUGUAGGUGUGUGUGUGUAUGCGCGCGUGUGUGUGUGUGUGUGUGUGUUUCUGU